Long non-coding RNA from Gasterosteus aculeatus aculeatus (three-spined stickleback), 370 nucleotides. Lineage: Eukaryota; Metazoa; Chordata; Actinopteri; Perciformes; Gasterosteidae. The record is from Ensembl.
GACGAGCGGAGCAUCUCAACACUGAUUGGCUUUCACAAGAGGCACAUCUUUCGCCCAGAGACAGUAGAGUUGGAGCAGUCUUGCAAUGUGGCGGCUCAGGAUUGAUGGAAAGGCAACAUCACGAUCACAACGUGAAGAAUAUGCAUCAUCAGAGCUCGAGUCAUCACCACUUGGUGAAGAGCCAGGAACGUAGUCUUCAUCACAGAUGGAUGCUUCAUCACCGAAGGGUUCAACAUCCGUCACCUAAAAGAUUUGAAGAAACAUCUGCAUCCUCACAGAGCAGGCGUCCUCAAAGAGCAGGUGUCCUCAUCUCCUCUACCUACCGAACACGAUGGAAAAUGAAUAUUCAGGUUUGACAAGUUACCUGCUG